Molecule: unclassified non-coding RNA, 1150 nt
Filed under: Leishmania donovani
Lineage: Eukaryota; Euglenozoa; Kinetoplastea; Trypanosomatida; Trypanosomatidae
Description: gene:unknown
Source: RNAcentral
CAUGAGACUACGAAAGCUCUUAUUACACACACACACACACACACGCACCCCCUCCCUCUCAGGUUCAAACGCUUUCCCUUCUUUCGCUUCUUUGUUCUCAUUUUGUGCGCUUUUUUGAAGCUGUUUUUUUUUUUGUUGUUUUGCGCAGUUGUGUGCGUGGCGCGAAAGGAAAGGAAAACAAAAUCAUGUACCUGUCUGUUUGUGUGUGUGUAUGCAUGUGAGGAGGCGUGGUGCGGGGUGCGGAUGUGAACAUGGGUAUGUUGUCUGCGUCGUUACUUUUACGAGUGUGUCCUGUGCGCAGUAGUUGACUGUAUGGAAGCAUGAUGGAGCAGUGCGCUGUAUCGCGCUUCCACCGCACAUUCUGCAAGUUUGAACAUGUAUGUAACACUAAGCCAGACAUCCACACCUACACGCAACUCCUACGCGUCGAGGCACGCAAACACACACAGAUACACGCAGAGAAAUCCACAUUCUCUUAUGACUGCGCUUUUUCUUUUUUUUUUCACCGCGUUUCAGAGCUCCCCAACUCUACGUACACUCCUUCUUGUUCCAUCUCUCUGUCUCCUUUCCAAUCGGUCUAUCCUUAUCUGCCGCCCGCUCUACUCAUUCUUUUUCCCUGCUUACGGCGCACCGAUCUACUCAAUACUAUACCCGCUGUACUUCCUCCCUCUCAGCACCCACGCCCGCACGCGAUGGUGGAGAAAAAGACAAACCGCUAACGGGCAUCCGCGGAUGCGUGUGCUUGCGUUGGUGCGGGUAGAGGCGUAGGAUGUAGAGGGAAGGGCUUUCGUAAUGCGAUGGGUAAGCGAAAAAAGAAAGACUGCGUUGCUGAGCAAGGAAACGGCACUUUGGCGCUCGAUUCGUGUUUCAGGACAGAAGCAAGACAGAAUGCGAAGAGGCGAGAAAAGAAAGAAAGGAGGAGGACUAUAGCAACAACGAGCGACGAGGAAAUCGCAGGGGGACUGGCAGUGGUGGCUCUGAGGUGCAAAAAAAAAGCUGUCGAGAUGUGGAUGACCCCCUUACAUACGCAUGCGCGCACGCGCUCUUUCUCUCUGUCCUUCCGCCCAUUUUGCUCGAGCUAUGACAUGCACACUUACUCGACUAGAAGGACGCAGAGCUCGGCGAGGAAGCAACGUUCAACUCGAGGGUC